Molecule: ribosomal RNA, 520 nt
Filed under: Tetramorium sp. TSP18
Lineage: Eukaryota; Metazoa; Arthropoda; Insecta; Hymenoptera; Formicidae
Description: partial large subunit ribosomal RNA
Rfam family: Archaeal large subunit ribosomal RNA (bases 390-520)
Source: RNAcentral
AAACAUGGUUUUUUGUAUUUAAUUUAAAAUUGGUUCUGCUCUAUGAUUUGAUUAAAUGGCCGCAGUAAUUUGACUGUGUUAAGGUAGCAUAAUCAUUUGGUUUUUAAAUGAAAUCUGGGAUGAAAGAAUUGAUGAGAUUUAGGCUGUCUUAAAAUUAAAAUUUGAAUUUAUUAAUUAAGUAAGAAUACUUAAAUAUUUUUGUGGGACGAGAAGACCCUAUUGAAUUUUAUAUAAGUAUAUAUUUAUUUAUUUAUAUUAAUAUAUGUAUAUAUAUUUAUAUUUAUUUGGGAGGAAUAUUAAAUUUGAAAAACUUUAAUUAUAUAAAAUAUAAAUAAAUGAGAUUAAUUAAAGAGUGAUUUUUAAAUUAUAUUAGAAUUAAUUACCUUAGGGAUAACAGCGUAAUAUUUUUAGAGAGAUCAUAUUGAUAAAAAUGUUUGCGACCUCGAUGUUGAAUUAAGAUAAAAAUUAAGUGGAGAUUCUUAAUAUUUAAGUCUGUUCGACUUUUAAAAUCUUACAUGAU